GGGGGGGGGGGGGGGGGGGGCGGGGGGGGGCGGGUCGGGCGGACCGUGCGGGGGGGGUGGCGGGCGGGGGAGUGACACGUGGGAACGUGCCUGUAGGUCCGGCAUAGCUCCUGGAAACGGGUGGUAAUGCCGAAUGUGCCCUUCGGGGGAAAGAUUUAUCGCCUUUCGAGCGGCCCGCGUCUGAUUAGCUAGUUUGUGAGGUAACGGCUCACCAAGGCGACGAUCAGUAGCUGGUCUGAGAGGAUGACCAGCCACACUGGGACUGAGACACGGCCCAGACUCCUACGGGAGGCAGCAGUGGGGAAUCUUGCGCAAUGGGCGAAAGCCUGACGCAGCCAUGCCGCGUGAAUGAUGAAGGUCUUAGGAUUGUAAAAUUCUUUCACCGGGGACGAUAAUGACGGUACCCGGAGAAGAAGCCCCGGCUAACUUCGUG
RNAcentral lists this ribosomal RNA (433 nucleotides) under uncultured bacterium. RNAcentral's name for it is "partial 16S ribosomal RNA". It matches the Rfam family "Bacterial small subunit ribosomal RNA", at positions 39 to 507 of the family's 1533-position model. The record is from RNAcentral.